AAUCAACGCUGGCGGCGUGCCUCAGACAUGCAAGUCGAACGCGAAAUUCCGAGCAAUCGGGAAAGUAGAGUGGCGCACGGGUGAGUAACACGUAGGUAAUCUACCUUUGGAUGGGGAAUAACAACCGGAAACGGUUGCUAAUACCGCAUAAUGCAGCGGCACCUAAUGGUGACAGUUGUUAAAGCGGGGGAUCGAAAGACCUCGCGUCUAAAGAGGAGCCUGCGGCGGAUUAGCAGUUGGUAAGGUAAUGGCUUACCAAGGCUACGAUCCGUAACCGGCCUGAGAGGGGCGGUCGGUCACACUGACACUGACAUACGGGUCAGACUCCUACGGGAGGCAGCAGUCGGGAAUUUUGGGCAAUGGGCGAAAGCCUGACCCAGCAACGCCGCGUGAAGGAUGAAA
This 402-nucleotide ribosomal RNA is filed under the name uncultured bacterium. RNAcentral's name for it is "bacterial SSU rRNA". It matches the Rfam family "Bacterial small subunit ribosomal RNA", at positions 32 to 413 of the family's 1533-position model. The record is from RNAcentral.